RNAcentral lists this ribosomal RNA (320 nucleotides) under Salmonella enterica subsp. enterica serovar Worthington str. BCH-3008. RNAcentral describes it as "partial 23S ribosomal RNA". It matches the Rfam family "Bacterial large subunit ribosomal RNA", at positions 447 to 670 of the family's 2925-position model. The record is from RNAcentral. Lineage: Bacteria; Pseudomonadati; Pseudomonadota; Gammaproteobacteria; Enterobacterales; Enterobacteriaceae.
GGGGGACCAUCCUCCAAGGCUAAAUACUCCUGACUGACCGAUAGUGAACCAGUACCGUGAGGGAAAGGCGAAAAGAACCCCGGCGAGGGGAGUGAAAAAGAACCUGAAACCGUGUACGUACAAGCAGUGGGAGCCCCACCACUAAGCCAGUGGUGAACUCACAUACGCAUCCUUUGCUGAAGGUGCGGUUAACGGAGCGCAAGCGACGUUCAACCUCAAAAGAAGCAGAGGGGGCUUAGUGGUGGGGUGACUGCGUACCUUUUGUAUAAUGGGUCAGCGACUUAUAUUCUGUAGCAAGGUUAACCGAAUAGGGAGCCGCA